Molecule: long non-coding RNA, 4441 nt
Organism: Centrocercus urophasianus (Greater sage-grouse)
Lineage: Eukaryota; Metazoa; Chordata; Aves; Galliformes; Phasianidae
Exons: 4
Source: RefSeq, a predicted model, not a curated record
GGCGCCCUACUGCGCAUGCUGCCGCCUGCACCUCAUCUGCGUUAACUUCAGGAUUUGUAUUACUCGUAGCAUUACUUUUAUGGUGACUUACUUAGAUCUUUGUGGAUUAUGGUGGCUUAUCUGGAUUACUUUAAGUGGAUUUGGUGGUUUAAGGGGCUGUAUUUAAUUUGCAAGAGGAAAAAGACGUCGAUAAUUCGCGACAUCCUCUUGUUAUCUCAGAGCACCCUGCUAUGAAGCAGCAGUGCAGCGGGAAUCCACAUGUGCUACGGGACUCCAUCAGACACUGCAAGGUUGCUGUAGGACUCCAUAGGAUGCAACAGAGAACCUGCAGGACUGUGGGGCACGCAGGGGCACCCAGGAGCCUCCCCACGAUCCCCCAGCAACCCCACAGGAACCGUACGCUUUGAUCAAGAAGAAACACUGGACAUAGAAACAAGAUGUAAGAUUAGAUAUGGUUGCUUAGGGAGGCCUUGAAACUGUUGAGACUUGUAUCCAAGAUAUACAUAAUCAUAUAUAUGUGUGUGCUGUUGUGUUGUGUGAAUAUAGUAGACUAAUAGUAGAUGUAGUAGAAGAAGAAGAAUAAAGGACUUUCCUAUGACAGAGGCCUCUGAUUGCUGAACUUCAACAACCAACAGUUCUGCUUUAGGACCCACCUGACUGAAACCAGAUGGGAAGUGGCAAUUAACAAUUGAUUAUCAAUGCCUGAAUGCUCAUAUAGCACCGCUAGCAGCUGCUGUUUUAAACAUUGCCAACGUAACAGCUGUUUUUGUGAGCAGCUGCACAUUCACGGAUGGCAGCCUUUGGUGUACGUGUUCUUUAUGGUUCCCUUCCAGGAAGAGGAUAAAGAAAACUUUGCUUCUGCUUGGGACAAGAUACAAAAUACCUGUAGCAGAUUCCCACAGGUGUGUAAACAUUCUGCCAUGCUUGUUCCUGCUGUGCUUUUACAGAUAGUUUCACUGCCUCAAGAUGUGAAAUUGUAUUGACCACGAAGACCAGCAAAACUGUGCAAAACAGUGUGCACUUAAGUGCAGAAUUUUGCAAACCCCACGUGGACUUCAUGGAACCCCAGCAAAGACAAGCAAUCCCAUACAUUCUUCAGCAAUCCAAGAAGGAACUUCAGCAAUGCAGGGCAAAGACUGGUGAAUCUGGAUAGAAGAGUAAUCAAAAAUCACAAUAACUACAAAAGAACAUGCAAAGCAAGUGAUGUGCAAUGCAAUUGCUCACCACCCACUGAUGAAUUACCAGCCGAUUCCCAACCAGCAGCAGACUGCCGGUCAUCUCCCCCCGGUACGUUAUUCAGCGUGAGGACAUCGAGGACAGGACAUCCCUUUGGCCAGCAUCGUCCCGCUUCUGUCCCCUCGUUGCCAAGGCUGAGGAGGAGCCCAGCUUCUACCGCAGCUCGGGGUGGAUGUGACGCAUGACGGCCGGCCUACUCGAGCACCCGCUGCCCCCGUCACCCCUUCCGCAACACAUCUUCGCAAUGAGCCGCAUCUCCACUGCGCCGGCGGAACGGGGAACCCCGCCGCGGCUCCUCCCCCGUCGCGGCAGAGCGAUCCGCACGUUCCGCAAUGCGCACCGCUGCCUGUCGCGGUCUGAUUACGUCACCGCCAGAAGUGCUGCCGAGUGAUUUUCCGGUGUUGGUCGCUGCUGCUGCCUGCAAAUGAGCAAGCGGAAAGUGCUGCAGGAGAGCCUCAACCAGGGCAUCGCAGACUUCCUCAUGGCUAGGGAAUUACGAGCGCGACGUGAACCGAGGCAUCCACAAGUACGACGCGUACAGAUACCGCCUCCUUCCUCAGGGCUGCUUUUUUCUCUUCCCUGCCGGAGCGCCCCGCCCCCGUCUCUCGGGGGCCCGGCCCGGCCUCGCCGCAGGGCUGAGCGCGCUGCUCUUUUCUGGCCGCUGACCGACGCCGUUCCGCAGGAAAGCAGACUGUCGUUUCUCGGUACCCCAGCAGAAUACGGAGUGAAGCCGAAGCUAAGAAGCUGGUAGGUACCGGGGCGAAUUUGGGCUUCUUAGCGUGGAGGAACUGUGUUAGGAUGGUAUCGAGGUUUCCAGGAGGAAGGAAGCAGUGUACGAAUGACUCUUGCUUGCAUCAGCUUCUGCUGGCAGCCGGCUCAGGGAAGGGCGAGUGGAGCAUAUGGGCUGCAGGGAUUUCAUAGGUGGAACUGGAAACUCCAGCUGGGUCUCUUCUGUGAAAGGCUUCUACUGUGGCAGGUUUCCCCUUUGCUGUGUUACUGUCUCACUAAGUUUGGGAGUUGUAGGAAUCUACAACUGGUUUAAAAUAACUGUUUGCAGGGGACUUGUAAUACAGCACUUGAAGUACUCUGUGCUACUUGUGUUGUACCCUUCAGUGCUCCUGAUCUCUUACAGACCAAUGUUUUAAAAUGGUUUCUGUGACUUCACAGUUCUUUUUAUUGAGCUUUAUUUUUCUUAGGUAUGAUGGCUGUAAGUGACCUUGAAAUUGACUUGUAGUUAAUCCUUCCUCAAUGUUUAGGAUGGAGUAGUUGCUAAAAUAGCUGAGAAAAUAGAUGAGUUUUUAUCUACUGGACAGCUUCACAAAUUGGAAAAGGUGUGUUUCUUUCCCUUAUGCUUUAUUUCUCAGUAGUUGUUUUACUUUGUACUUUGUGUAGUAGUCUGCUUGCUUUGUGCAGUUUCUGUUGCUUUCUGCGGAGAGAGUGAUGUCAAGCAGAAGAACGGUGGAGUCUGCAAAGUAAAAAGUGGGGAACAAGAAGCUUAGGCAAAGCCUCAGAACUGUCUACUUACGAAAAUAUUUUAGAUUGUAUAAUUGGCAUGUGAAUGUCUUCUGUGAGAAAUGGAAUUCCGACUCUGGAAGGCUGCAGAACUGACUUUUAACCAUGCUGUUUACCUUAGCAUGGGCAGUUAAGACAGUUAAUUCACUGGAAUGGUACGUAUGACACUGUCCUAAUGCACAAUAUUUCUGUUAGUACUGUUUUGUUCUGAUUUACAGUAGGUCUCCAAAGCAGAAUCUGACUAAGUUGUUUUAUAAGCUUUCUUUAUUUAGUGAAAUGGAGUAAAGAAGAGUUUGUUCACAUUACUAUCUUUUUGCAGAUUCGACAAGAUGAUACAAGUGCAUCCAUCAACUUCCUGACAUGAGUUACUGGUAUUGGGUAAAGCUUAGUUAUUAUUUGUUAGUGGUGGGGGGAAGUAGUUGUCAAAGUUGUAGAACUGCCAAUUACAGAUUCUGCAGUAGAGGAGUGGAAGUGGAAAGCUCCUGUGUGCAAGCAGAGAGGGGAAGGAGAGAGGGAGGUGAUCAAAAACUGAAUCAAAAGACUGAGAAAAGUAGAAUCAUGAAGGCAGAGUAGGAGCCUAUGAGAUUUACAGUGCAAAAUCUGAUUAGGGAGAGUAGUAUUUUUAUUAUGUUUGUAAAAGGAAAUCCAGAGCCCUGCCAACCCCUCAAAAACAGGUCUUUUCAGAAAGAUGAUAGCAGGAGAUCUAAUUCUCUCGAGGCCUGUUCUCGUUCCUAUUCUGUGCAUAGGGAAAUUUUGGCAAAAAAGAGCUCAGUUUACAGACAGGCACUUAACUUAGCAUGUGCAUAGCAGCAGAAGUCAAUAUCUUGAGUGAGAAGGACUGUGAUACUGCUUGCCAAGAACAGGGUUGGCUAAAUAUAGAACACUUGUGCUUAAAAUCAGAACAGAUUGGAAUGCUGUGGGGAAGAAGAGGGAAAAGCAAUUGUCACAGAGUUAUCUGAGUCUGUGACAAAGGGCAAAAAAAGCCCAGGAAAGCAAACAAAACAAAACAAAACAAAAAAAAAAAAAAAAAAAAAAAAAAGAGAGGGGAAAACAACCCUCCCUCUUUUCUUUCAGCUUAGCUAGCUAGCCCCGAGGCAGACCCUGCCCUCUGGGAGAGGGGGAGAGGAGGAGAGGGGGAUGGGUAGAAAGAUAGCAGAUAGGUCUAAAAAACAAAAACAAAACAAAACAACAACAACAAAAAAAACCUUCAACAAGUGGUUGCCUCCCGGUAACGGGAAGGAACGUUAAUUUACUAAAUUUAACCAAAUUGAACGAAAUGAGAGACAAGAGCAUCCAAAGUAUGAGAUAGUAGAUGAAGUAGUCUUACUCUAGUAGACUGCAAAGAAAUAUAUGCUUUUCUCUAUCGCAAACCGAGAGUGAGCUGGGCCUGAGGGGGAAAGAAGCACGGGGUCCUGUCCGGAGCUCCACCCAUCUUCCUCUUCGCGCCUCCAGGAGUCCUCCAGGAAUGCCGCCCCUCCAAUCAGAAUACUUGAAAUGCCCUUAAGAGGCAGUAAAUGGAACCAGAACAUGAACUCUUUUACUCCCGCUGGUUCACACGAUGUUCUGAUGUGGAAUACCGACAGUAAAAAAUCACAAAACCACAACAUUCCACCCCUUAUUCCAGAUCACCACAUCACGCUUAACAAAUACCUAUAUACAAACAAAGAAAUAAUUAACAUGCGUUACAUAUGCA